GCAGGGAUGGUGGAACUGGCAGACACGCUACUUUGAGGGGGUAGUGGAGGUUCACUCCGUGCGGGUUCAAAUCCCGCUCCCUGCACCA
RNAcentral lists this transfer RNA (88 nucleotides) under Bacillota bacterium. Its description in RNAcentral is "tRNA-Leu". It matches the Rfam family "tRNA". Rfam says of the family: Transfer RNA (tRNA) molecules are approximately 80 nucleotides in length. RNAcentral also lists the same sequence under 3 other names. The record is from RNAcentral. Lineage: Bacteria; Bacillati; Bacillota.